CCUAUUGAGUGUUAUAUCAAAUGGUAGUAGGAGUGGAGUGAAUCUCCACUCCGAGGGCAGACACGAUGAUGUAGGAA
This 77-nucleotide non-coding RNA is filed under the name unclassified sequences. RNAcentral describes it as "RAGATH-18 RNA". It matches the Rfam family "RAGATH-18 RNA". Rfam says of the family: Actinobacteria, Firmicutes, Fusobacteria, Thermotogae (1 example). Nearby to self-cleaving ribozyme genes The record is from Rfam by way of RNAcentral.